RNAcentral lists this ribosomal RNA (279 nucleotides) under uncultured bacterium. RNAcentral describes it as "partial 16S ribosomal RNA". It matches the Rfam family "Bacterial small subunit ribosomal RNA", at positions 506 to 784 of the family's 1533-position model. The record is from RNAcentral.
GGCCAGCCGCCGCGGUAAUACGGAGGGUGCAAGCGUUAAUCGGAAUUACUGGGCGUAAAGCGCGCGUAGGCGGUUAGUUAAGUCGGAUGUGAAAGCCCCGGGCUCAACCUGGGAACUGCAUUCGAUACUGGCCAACUAGAGUACGAGAGAGGGAGGUAGAAUUCCACGUGUAGCGGUGAAAUGCGUAGAUAUGUGGAGGAAUACCAGUGGCGAAGGCGGCCUCCUGGACUGAUAUUGACGCUGAGGUGCGAAAGCGUGGGGAGCAAACAGGAUUAGAUA